RNAcentral lists this ribosomal RNA (753 nucleotides) under Microsporidium sp. BPAR20. Its description in RNAcentral is "SSU rRNA". It matches the Rfam family "Microsporidia small subunit ribosomal RNA", at positions 1 to 788 of the family's 1311-position model. The record is from RNAcentral. Lineage: Eukaryota; Fungi; Microsporidia.
CACCAGGUUGAUUCUGCCUGACGUAGAUGCUAGUCUCUAAGAUUAAGCCAUGCAUGUUUAUGUAAUAAGGACGAACAGCUCAGUAGAACUACGAUGAUUUAGUCUCUCUGAUAAAGAUAACUACGUGAAAAUGUAGCUAAGAGAGGAGAGAAUAAGACGUAGGACUAUCAGUUAGUUGGUAGUGUAAUGGACUACCAAGACGAUGACGGGUAACGGGGAAUCAGGGUUUGAUACCGGAGAGGGAGCCUGAGAGAUAGCUCCCACGUCCAUGGACGGCAGCAGGCGCGAAAAUUGCCCACUCUUGUAGGAGGCAGUUAUGAGACGUGAAGAUGAAUAUUCAGCAAAGAUGAAUAGGAGAAUUGGAGGGCAAGUUUGGUGCCAGCCGCCGCGGUAAUACCGACUCCAAGAGUGUGUAUGAGAGAUGCUGCAGUUAAAAAGUCCGUAGUCAUAGAAAAGUAAACGGGGAUGUGAAGUCUCUUUAGUUAGUAAUAGAAAAGCCGAUGGGGAACAUAGUAUACCAGGGCGAGAGAUGAAAUGCCAAGACCCCUGGUGGACUGAGCGAGGCGAAAGCGAUGUUCUUGUAGGUGUUUGAUGAUCAAGGACGAAGGCUGGAGUAUCGAAAGUGAUUAGAUACCGCAGUAGUUCCAGCAGUAAAAGAUGCCGACAUGUUCAUUGGCAACAGUGGACAGGGAGAAAUCUUAGAGUUCGGGCUCUGGGGAUAGUAUGCUCGCAAGAGUGAAAAUUAAAGAAAUU